RNAcentral lists this ribosomal RNA (492 nucleotides) under uncultured bacterium. RNAcentral describes it as "partial 16S ribosomal RNA". It matches the Rfam family "Bacterial small subunit ribosomal RNA", at positions 29 to 507 of the family's 1533-position model. The record is from RNAcentral.
AGUGAACGCUGGCGGCAGGCCUAAUACAUGCAAGUCGAACGGAAGCACAGUAAGAGCUCGCCCCUACGGGUGGCGAGUGGCGGGCGGGUGAGGAAUACAUAGGAAUCUACUUUUACGUGGGGGACUACGGAGGGCAACAGAUGAUAAUACAGCAUAUGAUGUACGGGUGAAAGCAGGAGAUCUUCGGACCUUGCGCGUCUGUAUGAGACGAUGUCGGAUUAGCUAGUUGGCGAGGUAAAGGCCCACCAAGGCAACGAUCCGUAGCUGGCCUGAGAGGAUGAUCAGCCACACUGGAACUGAGACACGGUCCAGACUCCUACGGGAGGCAGCAGUAGGGAAUAUUGGGCAAUGGGCGAAAGCCUGACCCAGCCAUGCCGCGUGAGUGAUGAAGGUCUUCGGAUUGUAAAACCCUGUUAUUGGGGAAGAAAAGCAGCAGAUGUAUCUCCCGCUAUUCUGACGGUACCCAAAGAGAAAGCCCCGGCUAACUUCGUG